AUCUGUUAUACUACGUGACAUGAUCGACUUCUACUUUAAAUAGCAUUUACUGCAUCUAUGUUAGUGUGUUGUAUUGUUUAGUUCAAGAUGUCGGUUGUCGAGAUAACCGAUGGCGCAGGUAAACACCUCAGAUUGGUGGAAUUUGAUGGCAAACUUUAUCCUAAAUUUUCAAUAGAUGUAAUUACCAACAUGAAAUCGUUAAAACUACGUGAAGAUGAUAUCAUUAUUUCUGCCUACCCUAAAUCAGGAACACAUUGGUUGUUUGAAAUAUGUCGAAUGUUGCUGGCAGGUCGAACUGAUUUACAAGCCAUUUCUAAAUCUGACUUUAUGAUUGAAGAUGUGGGACAGGACGUUUUAGACCAAGCCAAAUCCCCUCGUAUUCUGAACAGUCAUGUUGCCUUUAGUGACUUACCAACUGAUCUGGCUGUGAAGAAACCCAAGAUAAUCUAUAUUAGAAGAAACCCGAAGGAUCUUGCCGUCUCGUUCUAUAACCAUUGUUAUAAAAUAUCAGUAUAUGACUAUAAAGGAGAAUUCAAGGAUUUUAUUGAAUUAUUUAUAAACGGAACAGUUGAGUACAAUUGUUGGUAUAAACAGGUUUUAGAUUGGGAGAAAGUCAUUGAUAACAACACGGAGUAUUCUAUAUUACAUUUAACAUAUGAAGAUCUUAAAGCGGAUCCAAUAGCAGAAAUCAGAAAAAUAUCAGAUUUUUUACAAGUUAAAAGAAAUGAGGAAUUAAUUCAAGGAAUAAGUGAUGCGUGUUCCUUCUCUAAAAUGCAGACAAGAAUGUCUCAUGUAGUUGCUGAUGAGAAUGGAAAAUCUAAAAUAUAUAGAAAGGGUGAAGUUGGCGACUGGAAAAACUGGUUUACCGUGGCACAAAGUGAAUGGUUUGACCGAGUCUAUCGUGAGAGAAUGUCUGGAUCAAAAUUAAAAUUCAGAUAUUCUUUAGACGAAGAUGCGAAAUAAACCAAUAAAAACGAUA
This is a long non-coding RNA of Patella vulgata (common limpet), 979 nucleotides long. RefSeq lists it as uncharacterized. The record is from RefSeq and is a predicted model, not a curated record. The transcript has 6 exons. NCBI's taxonomy places the organism in Eukaryota, Metazoa, Mollusca, Gastropoda, Patellidae.